GGUGAUGAUGUGACUCUCUUCUACUGCUUGGGUUCUGUCCAAGAGAUUGUGAUGUAUCACUGGGCCAAGAGGCUAGGUGAUGUGACUCUCCUCUCCUGCCUGGGCCCUGCAUACAUUUUACAUUGUGACAUAUGGCUGGGAUCAAAACAUAGGUGAUGCAACUCUUUUGCCUGUGCUUUGCCCGCAAGGGUAUUAUGACAUGUUAUUUUGUUCAUCACCUAGGUGAUGUGACUCUUUCCUUCUGCCUGGGCCCUGACAAAAAAGGGGAUUGGAGCGUGUCACUUGACCCAACACCUAGGGGUGAUGUGACUGUCUUAUUUGCCUGCACCUUGCAUAUAUCGGGUAUUGAGUCCUAUGGCUGAGCCCUACAUGAAUGGGAUUUAAGACUCCUGCCUUGGCCCUGCCAACAGGGGGCAUUGUAAAGUAUCCCUGCAUCUGUCACUGAGAUGUGACUCUCCUGUUCUGCCUGCAUCCUGCCUAUAAGGAAGAUUGUGACAUAUUGCUGGGUCCACGAUUGAGACAAUGUGUCUUUCCUGCCUGGGUAUUGCCUACAGGGAGCAUUGUGACAUAUCACUGGGCCCAGCAUGCAGGUAUUGUGACUCUGCUUUCUUUGCCCUGAUUUCCAGAAGGAAUUGUGACAUUUCCCUGGCCUGGUACCCAGAUGAUGUGACUCUCCUGGUGCCAGUCCUCAGGGAAUAUUGUAACACGUCUUUUUCCCAGCACCCAGGUUCUGCCCACAAGGGAGAUUUUGACUUAUUGCUGUCCUCAAAAUGAAGGUGAUGUGACACUUUUGCCUUGGACCCACCCUUGAAGACAUUGUGACAUAUUUCUUAGCUCAGCAUCAAAACGAUGUGUCUUCUUAGUAGACUCUGCCAACAUGGGGCAUUGUGACAUAUCUUUGGGCCCAUCAGCUAUUGAUGUAACUCUCUUCUCUUACAUGGACUUUGCUCACAGAAGAGACUAUGAAAUAUCUCUGGGCCCAGCAAAUAGGUGAUGUGACUCUUCUCUACUGCUUGGGCUCUGCUCAUGAGAAAAUUGUGAUGGAUUGCUGAACCCAGCACCUAGGUAAUGUAACUCUCUUCUCUUGCCUGGGCCCGGCAUAAAUUGUGUAUUGUGACAUGGGGCUCGAUCACAAACCUAGGUAAUGCUACUCUCUUGCAUUGGCUCUGCCCACCAGGGUAUUAUGACACAACUUUUCAUUCAUCGCCUAGGCGAUGUGACCCCCCGCUUCUGCUUGAAUCUUGCCAAAAGAGGAAAUGAUAACAUAUCACUAUACUCAGCACCUAGGUGCCAUGACUUGCCUUUUUCCCCAGGCAAUGCAUAUAUUGGGAAUUAUGACAUAUCACUGGACCCAACAUGUAGGGAAUAAAAGACUCCUGCCUGUGUUCUGCUGACCUAGAACCUUGUGAAAUAUCUCUGCAUCUAUCACCCAGAGAAUCUGACUCUCCUUUUCUGCAUGUACCCUGUCCACAAGAAAGAUUGUGACAUGUCAC
This 1493-nucleotide long non-coding RNA is filed under the name Homo sapiens (human). Its description in RNAcentral is "HSALNT0341238". The record is from RNAcentral. Lineage: Eukaryota; Metazoa; Chordata; Mammalia; Primates; Hominidae.